AUACGUAGGGUGCGAGCGUUAAUCGGAAUUACUGGGCGUAAAGCGUGCGCAGGCGGCUUUAUAAGCCAGAUGUGAAAUCCCCGGGCUCAACCUGGGAACUGCAUUUGGAACUGUAAGGCUAGAGUACGGCAGAGGGGGGUAGAAUUCCACGUGUAGCAGUGAAAUGCGUAGAUAUGUGGAGGAAUACCGAUGGCGAAGGCAGCCCCCUGGGUCGAUACUGACGCUCAUGCACGAAAGCGUGGGGAGCAAACAGGAUUAGAAACCAUAGUAGUCC
RNAcentral lists this ribosomal RNA (274 nucleotides) under uncultured bacterium. RNAcentral describes it as "partial 16S ribosomal RNA". It matches the Rfam family "Bacterial small subunit ribosomal RNA", at positions 523 to 796 of the family's 1533-position model. The record is from RNAcentral.